RNAcentral lists this ribosomal RNA (504 nucleotides) under uncultured soil bacterium. RNAcentral's name for it is "bacterial SSU rRNA". It matches the Rfam family "Bacterial small subunit ribosomal RNA", at positions 26 to 524 of the family's 1533-position model. The record is from RNAcentral.
AGAUUGAACGCUGGCGGCAGGCCUAACACAUGCAAGUCGAGCGGUAGAGAGGUGCUUGCACCUCUUGAGAGCGGCGGACGGGUGAGUAAUGCCUAGGAAUCUGCCUAGUGGUGGGGGGAUAACGUUCGGAAACGGACGCUAAUACCGCAUACGUCCUACGGGAGAAAGCGGGGGACCUUCGGGCCUCGCGCCAUUAGAUGAGCCUAGGUCGGAUUAGCUAGUUGGUGAGGUAAUGGCUCACCAAGGCGACGAUCCGUAACUGGUCUGAGAGGAUGAUCAGUCACACUGGAACUGAGACACGGUCCAGACUCCUACGGGAGGCAGCAGUGGGGAAUAUUGGACAAUGGGCGAAAGCCUGAUCCAGCCAUGCCGCGUGUGUGAAGAAGGUCUUCGGAUUGUAAAGCACUUUAAGUUGGAGGAAGGUUGUAACUUAAUACGUUGCAACUUUGACGUUACCGACAGAAUAAAGCAACCGGCUAACUUCGUGCCAGCAGCCGCGGUAAC